Molecule: ribosomal RNA, 36 nt
Filed under: Eriocheir sinensis (Chinese mitten crab)
Lineage: Eukaryota; Metazoa; Arthropoda; Malacostraca; Decapoda; Varunidae
Description: partial 18S ribosomal RNA
Source: RNAcentral
GCGUAACAAGGUUUUUCCCGUAGGUGAACCUUGCGG